UGGCGGACGGGUGAGUAACGCGUAAAGAACUUGCCCUUUAGACUGGGAUAACAGAGGGAAACUUCUGAUAAUACUGGAUAAGUUAGUAUAUCGCAUGAUAUGCAAAUGAAAGCUACGGCACUAAAGGAGAGCUUUGCGUCCUAUUAGCUAGUUGGUAAGGUAAGAGCUUACCAAGGCGAUGAUAGGUAGCCGGCCUGAGAGGGUGGACGGCCACAAGGGGACUGAGAUACGGCCCUUACUCCUACGGGAGGCAGAGGG
This 258-nucleotide ribosomal RNA is filed under the name uncultured Leptotrichia sp. Its description in RNAcentral is "partial 16S ribosomal RNA". It matches the Rfam family "Bacterial small subunit ribosomal RNA", at positions 96 to 351 of the family's 1533-position model. The record is from RNAcentral. Lineage: Bacteria; Fusobacteriati; Fusobacteriota; Fusobacteriia; Fusobacteriales; Leptotrichiaceae.